This 375-nucleotide long non-coding RNA is filed under the name Manihot esculenta (cassava). Its description in RNAcentral is "long non-coding RNA (MESC_LNC001845)". The record is from RNAcentral. Lineage: Eukaryota; Viridiplantae; Streptophyta; Magnoliopsida; Malpighiales; Euphorbiaceae.
AUGUGGUCCAUGACAAACACAUGAACUCACAACACAUAGCAUAGCAUCAUAUCAUAUGGUCCACGUGAUACACACAUGACCCCUCAUGCAACAUAUAUCAUGGAUGAACCUGUCACCUACAGCCUACAACAUAGCAGAACAUGCCAUGAGCAACUGUGCCAAGGGCCACUCUUGGUCGCUCAGCUCAUCUCAUAUCAGUACAUAUCAUGCCAUCUCGCAGCUAAGGGACUAUCAACAUCCAUAAUACAACAUAAAUGCACAUGCAUCACACAUGGCAUUACACAUCAUCAUACAAGACAGGACUCCUCAUCCUAUCCUAGUGGACAUGAUCUUACUCUUAAUCUUUCUUAAUGUGCUUGCCCUCCUAACAUCUAG